This 254-nucleotide ribosomal RNA is filed under the name uncultured bacterium. Its description in RNAcentral is "partial 16S ribosomal RNA". It matches the Rfam family "Bacterial small subunit ribosomal RNA", at positions 524 to 776 of the family's 1533-position model. The record is from RNAcentral.
UACGGGGGGAGCAAGCGUUGUUCGGAUUUACUGGGCGUAAAGGGCGCGUAGGCGGCCAGCACAAGUCAGUUGUGAAAUCUCCGAGCUUAACUCGGAAAGGUCAACUGAUACUGUGCGGCUAGGGUGCGGAAGGGGCAACUGGAAUUCUUGGUGUAGCGGUGAAAUGCGUAGAUAUCAAGAGGAACACCUGCGGCGAAGGCGGGUUGCUGGGCCGUCACUGACGCUGAGGCGCGAAAGCCAGGGGAGCGAACGGG